RNAcentral lists this ribosomal RNA (499 nucleotides) under uncultured bacterium. Its description in RNAcentral is "bacterial SSU rRNA". It matches the Rfam family "Bacterial small subunit ribosomal RNA", at positions 903 to 1397 of the family's 1533-position model. The record is from RNAcentral.
AAAGGAAUAGACGGGGGCCCGCACAAGCAGUGGAGCAUGUGGUUUAAUUCGACGCAACCCGAAGAACCUUACCAGGUUUUGACAUUUAUGGAAUUCUGUAGAGAUACGGAAGUGCCUGUUCGCAGGAAUCAUAAAACAGGUGGUGCAUGGUUGUCGUCAGCUCGUGUCGUGAGAUGUUGGGUUAAGUCCCGCAACGAGCGCAACCCUUGAUAACAGUUGCCAUCAGGUAAAGCUGGGCACUUUGUUGUGACUGCCGUAGAUAAUACGGAGGAAGGUGGGGAUGACGUCAAAUCAUCAUGCCCUAUAUGACCUGGGCUACACACGUGCUACAAUGGGAUGAACAACGGGAAGCCAACCGGCGACGGUGAGCGGAUCCCUUAAAACAUCUCUCAGUUCGGAUUGCAGGCUGAAAUUCGCCUGCAUGAAGCAGGAAUUGCUAGUAAUCGCGGAUCAGAAAGCCGCGGUGAAUACGUUCCCGGGCCUUGUACACACCGCCCGU